This 305-nucleotide ribosomal RNA is filed under the name uncultured bacterium. Its description in RNAcentral is "bacterial SSU rRNA". It matches the Rfam family "Bacterial small subunit ribosomal RNA", at positions 338 to 640 of the family's 1533-position model. The record is from RNAcentral.
CCUACGGGGGGCAGCAGUGAGGAAUAUUGGUCAAUGGUCGGGAGACUGAACCAGCCAAGCCGCGUGAGGGAUGAAGGUACAGAGUAUCGUAAACCUCUUUUGUCAGGGAACAAAGGCGGGGACGUGUCCCCGGAUGAGUGUACCUGAAGAAAAAGCAUCGGCUAACUCCGUGCCAGCAGCCGCGGUAAUACGGAGGAUGCGAGCGUUAUCCGGAUUUAUUGGGUUUUAAGGGUGCGCAGGCGGUCUGUUAAGCGUGCUGUGAAAUGUCCGGGCUCAACCCGGGCCUUGCAGCGCGAACUGGCGUG